This 24-nucleotide non-coding RNA is filed under the name Arabidopsis thaliana (thale cress). The record is from RNAcentral. Lineage: Eukaryota; Viridiplantae; Streptophyta; Magnoliopsida; Brassicales; Brassicaceae.
AUCGCACCUCCUGAGCAUUAAGCC